RNAcentral lists this ribosomal RNA (497 nucleotides) under uncultured bacterium. Its description in RNAcentral is "partial 16S ribosomal RNA". It matches the Rfam family "Bacterial small subunit ribosomal RNA", at positions 28 to 507 of the family's 1533-position model. The record is from RNAcentral.
GAUGAACGCUGGCGGCGUGCCUAAUACAUGCAAGUCGAGCGAACGGACGAGAAGCUUGCUUUUCUGAUGUUAGCGGCGGACGGGUGAGUAACACGUGGAUAACCUACCUAUAAGACUGGGAUAACUUCGGGAAACCGGAGCUAAUACCGGAUAAUAUUUUGAACCGCAUGGUUCAAAAGUGAAAGACGGUCUUGCUGUCACUUAUAGAUGGAUCCGCGCUGCAUUAGCUAGUUGGUAAGGUAACGGCUUACCAAGGCAACGAUGCAUAGCCGACCUGAGAGGGUGGUCGGCCACACUGGAACUGAGACACGGUCCAGACUCCUACGGGAGGCAGCAGUAGGGAAUCUUCCGCAAUGGGGGAAAGCCUGACGGAGCAACGCCGCGUGAGUGAUGAAGGUCUUCGGAUCGUAAAACUCUGUUAUUCGGGAAGAACAUAUGUGUAAGUAACUGUGCACAUCUUGACGGUACCUAAUCAGAAAGCCACGGCUAACUACGUG